RNAcentral lists this unclassified non-coding RNA (287 nucleotides) under uncultured fungus. Its description in RNAcentral is "sequence contains ITS1, 5.8S rRNA gene". The stretch from base 239 to 287 matches the Rfam family "5.8S ribosomal RNA", at positions 1 to 49 of the family's 154-position model. Lineage: Eukaryota; Fungi. The record is from RNAcentral.
UCUCCGUUGGUGAACCAGCGGAGGGAUCAUUGCUGGAACUGUGUCCGCAAGGACACAACCCCAGAUACCCUUUGUGAACUUAUUCUUAUAUCGUUGCCUCGGCGCUGAGCUGGGGGCUUCUUUCCAAGGAGCUCUCCCAUGGUCUCUCGGGACGAUGGAGCAAGCCCGCCGGCGGCCCUUCUAAACUCUUGUUUUUAUUACGUAUCUCUUCUGAGUUAUUCAAAACAAAAUGAAUCAAAACUUUCAACAACGGAUCUCUUGGUUCUGGCAUCGAUGAAGAACGCAGC